CAGUCGCCGCGGGAAUACGUAGGGUGCAAGCGUUAAUCGGAAUUACUGGGCGUAAAGCGUGCGCAGGCGGUUUCGUAAGACAGAUGUGAAAUCCCCGGGCUUAACCUGGGAACUGCAUUUGUGACUGCGAGGCUAGAGUGUGUCAGAGGGGGGUGGAAUUCCACGUGUAGCAGUGAAAUGCGUAGAUAUGUGGAGGAACACCGAUGGCGAAGGCAGCCCCCUGGGAUAACACUGACGCUCAUGCACGAAAGCGUGGGGAGCAAACAGGAUUAGAUACCCGCGUAGUCCCUGUCUCUUAUAA
This 301-nucleotide ribosomal RNA is filed under the name uncultured bacterium. RNAcentral describes it as "partial 16S ribosomal RNA". It matches the Rfam family "Bacterial small subunit ribosomal RNA", at positions 509 to 809 of the family's 1533-position model. The record is from RNAcentral.